ACGCAUCUCUGACAGACCUGGAGCAGUUAGUGUCUGCCACUAAGAUUUCCACUAUAGAAGCGAGAAAAAGAAGGUCCCCGUGCUUUCUGCCUGGUUGUGGCAGCCAAGACUGAGUGGGGGAAUACAGGA
RNAcentral lists this small nucleolar RNA (129 nucleotides) under Dasypus novemcinctus (nine-banded armadillo). RNAcentral's name for it is "Small nucleolar RNA SNORA31 (ENSDNOG00000030895.1)". It matches the Rfam family "Small nucleolar RNA SNORA31". From Rfam's summary of the family: ACA31 (SNORA31) belongs to the H/ACA class of snoRNAs which are thought to guide the sites of modification of uridines to pseudouridines. ACA31 is predicted to guide the pseudouridylation of U3713 in 28S rRNA and U218 in 18S rRNA. Lineage: Eukaryota; Metazoa; Chordata; Mammalia; Cingulata; Dasypodidae. The record is from RNAcentral.